Molecule: ribosomal RNA, 443 nt
Filed under: uncultured bacterium
Lineage: Bacteria
Description: partial 16S ribosomal RNA
Rfam family: Bacterial small subunit ribosomal RNA
Source: RNAcentral
CCUACGGGUGGCAGCAGUGAGGAAUAGUGGUCAAUGGGCGCAAGCCUGACCCAGCAACGCCGCGUGAAGGAAGAAGGCUUUCGGGUUGUAAACUUCUUUUCUCAGGGACGAAGAAAGUGACGGUACCUGAGGAAUAAGCCACGGCUAACUACGUGCCAGCAGCCGCGGUAAUACGUAGGUGGCAAGCGUUAUCCGGAUUUAUUGGGUGUAAAGGGCGUGUAGGCGGGAGCGCAAGUCAGAUGUGAAAACUCAGGGCUCAACCCUGAGCCUGCAUUUGAAACUGUGUUUCUUGAGUGCUGGAGCGGCCAUCGGCCUUCCGUGUGUAGCGGUUCAAUUCGUAGAUCUACGGAGGAACACCAGUGGCGAAGGCGGAUUGCUGGACCGUACCUGACGCUGAGGCGCGACCGCGUGGGGCGCAAACAGGAUUAGAUACCCCUGUAGUC